Long non-coding RNA from Paramormyrops kingsleyae, 751 nucleotides. RefSeq lists it as uncharacterized. NCBI's taxonomy places the organism in Eukaryota, Metazoa, Chordata, Actinopteri, Osteoglossiformes, Mormyridae. The record is from RefSeq and is a predicted model, not a curated record.
UAUGGGAAACCAGCACAUCACUGGCAUGAACAGGGGACACGCUUCAGCACAAGAGUCACGCUUCAAUUUGUCUUCUUGCGGCUGAGGAACAGGGCGGCGUUUUUCGGCAGAUGUCUAAGCGACUUACUCGGAAAAUCGGUGGAUCAAUACGGCUUAGACAGCAGCGAGAGAGACUGACAUCAUACACAACGCAGAGACUGCACAACCAUCAUUGUUGACAUUCUGCCUGCCCUCCAGAUGUUUUCAAACAACAGCAGUAUGGAAAUGUCAACAGCGUACGAUUCUUCAUGGCCAUCCCAAAGCCUUUCAAGAUCAAGCCUCUCAGCACCUUUCAAGUGUUUCCGUCGUCAGUCCUCACUUGUUUUCAUCAGCUAAGGUUAAAACCCAGAACACCUGACUGCACAGUCACAUGACAGACCUUUGAACACACAAUCGCAUAAAGGUUUUUUGUGCAACAAUGCAUAAAAUGUAAUUUCAAGCUGCUGUUCAAAAUCAAUACCGAAUUUAAGGCAAAAUUGCCUCUUUCCCCAACCAAUCAGUUUUAAAGGAACGUAUUAACCAAUCCAGGCCUUUUCAGUGGCUUUGGAUUAUUAACGGUUAUUAACUUUUACAUGCUGAGGGUGGCUGUGAUUUAUAAGAUGUCGGAAGUCCUUGGUAGCAAUAGCUCCCACAGGCCACGGCCAGCAAACCCCAAAGAGAACCUCAAACUAUGGUGUCUGCUUUUAGUUAAUGUAAUGAUUGUGAUGAGGAU